Molecule: long non-coding RNA, 1141 nt
Organism: Pongo pygmaeus (Bornean orangutan)
Lineage: Eukaryota; Metazoa; Chordata; Mammalia; Primates; Hominidae
Exons: 3
Source: RefSeq, a predicted model, not a curated record
AGGCUAGUCUGGGAGGCUGGCGCAAAGGCAGUGGGGUGGCGAGGGUAGGGGCUCCUCAGGAGCCCACGGAGUGCGGCGGUGGCUCGGGGGCCAAGUUCCCUACAACAAGGAUGGCGGUGACGGGCCCAGGGAGCGGGGCCAGCUCUCCUUGCCUCGAGGCUCCUCUGAUUCCACUCGCGUGGCUGCGCGGCCCUGGCAGCGGCCUUCGUCCCGGGGGUGGGAGCUCCACAGGGUUCCGCCCCGUCCUGGCGACGACGCCUGAGGGGACUCUGUGCUAAGGCUCUGUCGGGCAGGCCGGGCUUCCGGGAGGACCUGGUCUGGAUGGGCCACCGCUGGGUGCCUGAGCUCUGCACGGAGCCUGCAGGCUUUGUUUAACUUAUAAAGAAGUGGGGGCUCAGAGCAGUCAAGAACAUGCCCCAAGUUAUUCGUCAGUGAAGCGGAAAUUGUGGUGUUCUUGUUUUUUGUGGGUCAGGAGAUCAGAAAUGGUUCUAUUUCAAGGUCUCUCAUAGGGCUGCAAUCAAGAUGUUGGCAUGCCUGGGGUCUCAUCUGAAGGCUGGACUGGAGAAGAAUCUACUUCCAAACUUAUGUGGUAGUUGGAAGAAUUUAGUUCCUCAAGGCUGCUAAACUGGUGGCCUGUGUUCCUUGCCUCUGGGAUGGUAGCUUGCUUCAACCAAGUGUGCAAGCAGAGAAGACACUAGCACGACAGAAGCCACAAUCUCUUGUAAUCUAUCAUUUUUGCUGUAUUCUACUGGUUAAAAAUAACUCAUUAGGUUAAGCCUACUGGAUCUCAAGGGGAAGAGAUUAUACAAAGGCAUGAAUUUCUGGAGGAGGGAAUGAGGGCAAAGAAUUCUGAGAAGUCUGUCUUCCACAAUCUGAAGAACUUCUAGAAAGUAGGAGGAAGCGAUAUUGCUUAGGGAUGGACAACUUGGCACUGGUUGUGUUCCAAGUGAGGUAACCUUGUUCCCAAGAAUAAAGAGAACCAGAUGUCUGUAAACGUUUCCCUGAACUGAAAUGCAGAUUGUUGUAUGUUCACCUGAAAUGAAUGGUAUAAGCUGAAUAUAAGAUUUUUGACAAAAUAAAAAUUUUGCUGUGUUCUCAGAUCUGGCAGGCUCCUGCCCUUGUGCAAACAAUGUUCCUGGCA